This 515-nucleotide ribosomal RNA is filed under the name uncultured Acidobacteriota bacterium. Its description in RNAcentral is "bacterial SSU rRNA". It matches the Rfam family "Bacterial small subunit ribosomal RNA", at positions 355 to 861 of the family's 1533-position model. The record is from RNAcentral. Lineage: Bacteria; Pseudomonadati; Acidobacteriota.
UGGGGAAUUUUUCGCAAUGGGCGAAAGCCUGACGAAGCAACGCCGCGUGGAGGAUGAAGGCCUUCGGGUCGUAAACUCCUGUCGACCGGGACGAAAGCAGUCUGACCCAAUACGUCGGACUGUUGACUGUACCGGUGGAGGAAGCCACGGCUAACUCUGUGCCAGCAGCCGCGGUAAUACAGAGGUGGCAAGCGUUGUUCGGAAUUACUGGGCGUAAAGGGCGCGUAGGCGGCCUGGUCAGUCCCGUGUGAAAUCCCUCGGCUCAACUGAGGAACUGCACGGGAAACUGCCUGGCUUGAGUUCGGGAGAGGGAAGCGGAAUUCCGGGUGUAGCGGUGAAAUGCGUAGAUAUCCGGAGGAACACCGGUGGCGAAGGCGGCUUCCUGGACCGACACUGACGCUGAGGCGCGAAAGCUAGGGGAGCAAACGGGAUUAGAUACCCCGGUAGUCCUAGCUGUAAACGAUGAGUGCUGGGUGUAGGAGGUAUCAACCCUCCUGUGCCGAAGCUAACGCUAA